RNAcentral lists this ribosomal RNA (253 nucleotides) under uncultured bacterium. RNAcentral's name for it is "partial 16S ribosomal RNA". It matches the Rfam family "Bacterial small subunit ribosomal RNA", at positions 524 to 776 of the family's 1533-position model. The record is from RNAcentral.
UACGUAGGGACCAAGUGUUGUUCGGAUUUACUGGGCGUAAAGGGCGCGUAGGCGGCCAGGUAGGUCUGCUGUGAAAACUCGAGGCUCAACCUCGAGACGUCGGCGGAAACCAUCUGGCUAGAGUCCGGAAGAGGAGAGUGGAAUUCCUGGUGUAGCGGUGAAAUGCGCAGAUAUCAGGAAGAACACCCGUGGCGAAGGCGGCUCUCUGGGACGGUACUGACGCUGAGACGCGAAAGCGUGGGGAGCGAACAGG